GAUGAAGAACGUAGCGAAAUGCGAUACUUGGUGUGAAUUGCAGAAUCCCGUGAACCAUCGAGUCUUUGAACGCAAGUUGCGCCCGAAGCCAUCAGGUUGAGGGCACGUCUGCCUGGGCGUCACAUAUCGUUGCCCAAUGCCUAUUGCAGUGCAAUGGGAAUUUCUAGGGCGAAUGAUGGCUUCCCGUGAGCGUUGUUGCCUCGCGGUUGGUUGAAAAUCGAGUCCUUGGUAGGGUGUGCCAUGGUAGAUGGUGGUCGAGUUAGAACGAUACCGAUCAUGUGCAUGCUCCCCAAAAUAUGGCCUCUAUGACCCACACGCGUCUUUUGACGCUCAUGACGAGACCUCAGGUCAGGCGGGGCUACCCGCUGAAUUUAAGCAUAUCAAUAAGCGGAGGA
RNAcentral lists this unclassified non-coding RNA (395 nucleotides) under soil metagenome. RNAcentral's name for it is "partial contains 5.8S ribosomal RNA, internal transcribed spacer 2, and large subunit ribosomal RNA". The stretch from base 1 to 122 matches the Rfam family "5.8S ribosomal RNA", at positions 35 to 154 of the family's 154-position model. The record is from RNAcentral.